GACGCAUUUCGGUGNGNAAACUCCUUUUCUGUCGGAAGAUGAUGACGGUAUGACAGGAAUAAGCACCGGCUAACUCCGUG
This 80-nucleotide ribosomal RNA is filed under the name uncultured bacterium. RNAcentral's name for it is "partial 16S ribosomal RNA". The record is from RNAcentral.